UGGCAUCAGUCCCCCGCGAUGCCCGCAGACAUUUCCCAUCCCCCGUCCCUAGCAGAACGCAGGCCGCUGUUACCUGGGCGCCGCCGUCCGGUACCGGAGAGUAGUGGGAAGAAGAGGGGGACACGUCUAAGUCACUCUCUUCCUCGGUCUCCCCGCCAGUCCUCGGGAAGCUCCAGGGGCCCGGUGGCGGCCACGGCUGCUCCAUGUCCCACUGGUCCGGGCCCGACAACCGCCACCGCUAACGGCCCUGGCGUGAGUGGAACCUGCUGGGCGGAGCCAGCCGCCCAGCCGGCCACGGUCGUUACCCAGAAUCCCUCUGCCGCUGGCGAAGCCGAUGCACCCCCGGAGCAGGCCUGGACUGUGCCGCCGGCGGACUGCGGGGCAUUGCUCCCAAACUAGAGUUUUCUACAAGGACAGCCAUCCUAGAGUGUGUGUUCCCGUGUAAAAACAGAUUUCUUUGGGAAGAAAGGUGUAAAUUGCAACAGUCUUUCUCAAAACUGAACGGACCGGCAAACAACAGGAAAAAGAAGCCAAAGGAGAAAAAUUCUGACCAGCUCUCCAAAGGCACACCAUUUUGGGGACCCUCCCCACAACGACUCCAUCUCCACCGGCCCACACAGAGGAACCCUGGAAAGAGCUUCCGGUUUCUGGGAGAAAGGAAGCCUCCAUUUGUGGUUAGACAUGUGGACAGUGGAAACCCCUUUGGUGAAAAUAAUUUGGAGCACCAUUCACAGAAGUCCAGAAGAAAACCUAAGUUUAUAAACUUUGAUCUUGCAAAGAAAA
RNAcentral lists this long non-coding RNA (783 nucleotides) under Rattus norvegicus (Norway rat). RNAcentral's name for it is "long non-coding RNA NONRATT003691". Lineage: Eukaryota; Metazoa; Chordata; Mammalia; Rodentia; Muridae. The record is from RNAcentral.